CAAUAGCGUAUAUUAAAGUUGUUGCAGUUAAAAAGCUCGUAGUUGGAUUUGUGGCGUACGGUGUGUUCCGGGCACUUGUUGUCUGAGUAACCUGCUGUUGCCAUCCUUGGGUGGAACCUGUGUGGCAUUAGGUUGUCGUGCAGGGGAUGCCCAUCAUUUACUGUGAAAAAAUUAGAGUGUUCAAAGCAGGCUUAUGCCGUUGAAUAUAUUAGCAUGGAAUAAUGAGAUAGGACUUUUUUGCUAUUUUGUUGGUUUGCGCAAAGAGGUAAUGAUUAAUAGGGACAGUUGGGGGUAUUCGUAUUCCAUUGUCAGAGGUGAAAUUCUUGGAUUUUUGGAAGACGAACUACUGCGAAAGCAUUUACCAAGGAUGUUUUCAUUA
This 379-nucleotide ribosomal RNA is filed under the name uncultured eukaryote. RNAcentral's name for it is "partial 18S ribosomal RNA". It matches the Rfam family "Eukaryotic small subunit ribosomal RNA", at positions 592 to 975 of the family's 1831-position model. The record is from RNAcentral.